AUUAAAAUAUACUAGCUAGCUCCUGGAGAACCCUCUCAACAGGCUUCCUACCUGCGUCCUGACUUGAGCAAGAUCAAGGAUGCUGGGCUAGCUCUCAGGAAAAGCAGGUUCAGCUGUGGUUGGGACCUGCUCAUCCUGCCCCUAACCUCCAUAUUUCCAGAGGGUAGGAGAGGAGAAAGGGAACAACUAUUUCAUGCUGGGACCCCAUGAGAUGGCCUUUCCUCCCCGUCCUCCCUCUAGCACUGGGCAUCCUUCAUCCCUACGCAGGCCGAUGACCAGGAUCCUUGAGAUUCCAAUAGGCAUUGCAACUAGGAACACCUGGCUGAAACCCGUCCUAGAGUUAGAGUUUAUUUUUUCUUUACCUUCUCUUUCCCUUUUUCCUUUUCUUUCUUCCUUUCUUGUUUUUAAGAAGCUGUUUGGCCUCGACCCAGGGGUAACUGGGGUGGGAAAAGAACCAUGCAACCACCAGCUAUCAGCCCCCCAGGAGAUGUCCAGGCUCUGUAGAGCCCGGACUUCCUUCCUUGCCUCGGCCUCGGCCUCCUCCUCAUCCUUCUGGAUCGUUUUUCCCUCCUCCCACUGUAUUUUCUUCGGUUUAAUUAAAGUCCAGCGACUCCACUAGCCUCUCCUUGGCGUUUCUCUUGGAAAGAGGAAACCAGUCGGCCCAUCCAUCGACCACAGGCCGAUCGGCCCCAGCACAACCCCAGCCUGCAGCCAGAGGGGCCUCCCCUCGCCCGCCUCCUUCACCCCUAACAGCCUUCUCCCACACCCCUCAGUCUUCCCGCAGGUGUGCAGCUACUUGGCUUGCGGGUCUGAACCACCAGGGCUGGGCAGGAGGACUGUGCUCAUCUUUCCCAGACCCUCAAAUUUACUCCACAAAGUUUAGAGGGUGAUUAGACCCUGGCCCAUUCAGCC
This is a long non-coding RNA of Marmota monax (woodchuck), 912 nucleotides long. RefSeq lists it as uncharacterized. Lineage: Eukaryota; Metazoa; Chordata; Mammalia; Rodentia; Sciuridae. The record is from RefSeq and is a predicted model, not a curated record. The transcript has 3 exons.